AAAUAGUUCCAAUCAACCCAAGACAAAAAUAUACAAAUUGAAAAUAAUCACAAAUCACAAAUAAUAAUCUUUCUUUAGGUUAGCUUUUUGAAUACAACCACCACAAAAUAAAGACAACCACACGUCAAACAGCAAUAUUUUUAAGAAGAAGAAGCGAUAUUUUUAAGGGAGAGAUUAAAUGUCCAGCAAACGAGGGAGAGAUUAAGGCCCGUCGAGUCUCAAGACAGCGUCGAUGCUCAAGACCGACCUUGAACCAACUUUGUGUUUUAUAAACCGAUCUCGAGACACGACGUUGUCUUGGGAAGUGUAAAAUGACAGGCGAAUCUCAAGUCAUCGAUCGACCUUCCUCAAGACCGCGAUUCUAACCUAACUUUGUUUGUUAUUGUUUGAAUUUUGAAUAUUUUAAAUUCAGUUCCAACAUAUAUUUUUUGUUUUUCUAAUUACAACAAAAAUGUAUGAAGAAGUAAAAGCAUUUUUAGAGUUUAUUGAUAAUAUUGGAGAAGAAAAUCGCCCGGGAAGUAUACAAAAGCGAUAUAUUCAAGAUAAAAAUAUAAUCUAAAAUACAAUGGAGUAUUACAAUAUUGAAGUUCAUCAGCGAAUCAGCGCAUUAACUUAAACAAUAAAGGUUUUAUGCUACUUAUAGGAAUAUAACCAGUUUUUAUGAGGACCCCGCUUUCCAAAAAUGUACAGGUACUAGAAGAGAAAUUAUGUGUAUUAUUGUUCAACAACAAGGUUAUCAAGUCAUUCAAUAUUUGAUCUAAGAGCAUUAAGAGUGAAAUUGUGAAAUGGAAAGAAGUGAAAUUCCAGGAUUAUUAAUAGGAAUAGAUGACAGUAGUGGGUAUGCAUGCAGACACUAUCUACUUACCCCAGUAUUACACCCAGGUAAUGAUCAAGAAAAUAAGAUUUUUACCAUAGUACUCAUGUGAGAACAAGAAAUGUAGAAAAGCUAUUUGGAACCUGGAAAAGAGUUUCCUUGUCUUCAACAAGGUCUACAAACCAAAUUAUAUACAUGUCUUGCAAUAAUAUGUGCUACAGCAGUACCUUACAAUCUAGGUAAAUAAUGAUCUGGUGGUAAAUAGACAUGUUAAUGAUGUGGAACAAUUUCUAAAUUUUUGGUGACAUUUUUUUCAACAAUAUUUUGCAUGAGAAUACAUUAUUGAAUACCUACUCUUAUUGUGUUUGAUUUUUUUGUCUAUUAUUUCUCAAAAUAUCAUGAUCAUUGCUCGACAGCCCUUUUUGUUUGAGUUUUGGUCUCUUGAGGAAUACAGCUCCAUUCCAAUCUAUUUCAGGAUUUGUUCUUGCAAUUUUUUAUUUUUAAAAUAUCAAUGUCUUAUUCUGUUUGUUCCUUAUAUCUAAUCUAUAGUCUUUCUCUCGUUAUAUGUCCAGCUGACAUUUGUGUGUUUAUUUUGGAAAGUAUUUCAUAUGCUUCCAUCCUUCCUCUUAGAACGUGGUCCUAUUUUGAUGAAUGCAUAUGGAUCGUGGUAUGCCCUGUAUAGUUCAAAAUUAUAUUUCAUAUGCUUCUAUCCUUCCUCUUAGAACGUGGUCCUAUUUUGAUGAAUGUAUAUGGAUCGUGGUAUGCCCUGUAUAGUUCAAAAUUAUAUUUCAUAUGCUUCCAUCUUUCCUCUUAGAACGUGGUCCUAUUUUGAUGAAUGUAUAUGAAUCGUGGUAUGCCCUGUAUAGUUCAAAAUUAUAUCUUCUCUGGUCUUCAUAUUUUAGAUGCUAUUUAGCCUGAUUCUAGUGCUUUAUCGUUGUUUCCAGUGCUUUAUCAAUUUAUCAUCAUUUAUUUUACCUACCUGUCUACUGCUACUCUACUAUUGUACUUUCACCAUAUAUUUUUGGAAUAUAAAUAUACCUUCUGUCUUUCUCUUGUUCAACUGGAAUUUGUUUAUUUAUUCUGAGAAUACAUUAUUGAAUCUGUAUUAUGUUAGAUAUAUUAUUUUUUAUUUUAUUUCUUAAUAUGUAUUUUUUAUAUUUUAUUUUAAAAUAAAUGAGUAUGAGUUUCCCUCUUCUUAAAUAA
RNAcentral lists this long non-coding RNA (2017 nucleotides) under Diabrotica virgifera virgifera (western corn rootworm). RNAcentral describes it as "uncharacterized LOC126878877". The record is from RNAcentral. Lineage: Eukaryota; Metazoa; Arthropoda; Insecta; Coleoptera; Chrysomelidae.